CAAGCAGCAGUGCCAUGGCCUGCUGUAAGAUCACCUCCAUAGACAGCCUCGUGGCAGACAGGACCUGUCAGGAUUCAGCCAUUGUAGGCUACAAGGACUUGUCCUCCAUUUUGGUGGUCGUCCCCCAGAAAGACCUUCAUUGGUGUCCUGGUAGGUGAAGACUGGUCAAGUUUUUUAUGAAUGGGCUGACACUUGGGGAUCAGAAAUGUUCUGUGACCUGGUAUUUGCUCUGCAGGAUGGGAAAUUUACAAUAGAUCUUAAUAUCACGAGCACAGGAGGAGCACCGCCUUCAACAUCACUGUCACCAUGAUGCUAGUCUGCUGAUGAGCAAAGAAGAGUUUGGACCCCCAGGGUCACAAAGAAGUUGAAGAGCACUUCAAACCUAUGUGAAAAUGGCUGAAGUCAGCAGCAGAGUAUUUCACCUGGGAGAAUGACUGUGGCCUAGUGGUCUGGGGCAAAUUCUCGGCAGUGCUACACAAGGAUGUGGCUUAGUCUCCUCACAUGCAGUGUUCCGUGCACAGAAAUCUUAUGUUUGUUCCGAGAAAAGUAUGCUGAGGGACUUCCAAGCCAAACUCUGGAAUCUGGGUUUCCACUCUUUGCUGGCUAAAACUGUUGUGCCCGAGUCACAAGGAUCCCAAAGAGACCUGGGAGACAGACCACCAAUGCAAAUGCACAAGGUUGAUUAAAUUGUCUAUCCUACCAUGGGAGAGAUCCUGUCUAGCAAGCUGAUGCAGCAGCCUCCAAGGAGGCCCUGUCUACUGCUAGGUUUUAAAGUUACAGGAUUACAUCAGUAGGUACGGGUGGGUUUCUGAUUGGUUGACAUUUGGGAAACAAUCAAGAAAUUUCUCAAAGUCAUAUUUUGGCAUGAAAUACCUGUGUAACAAUUAUUCUCAUUGGUCAGUGCUGAGAUGAACAUUCUGUGGUCUCUAUGGCUUUGGCUUGUUACUUGUAGGUGGCCUGUUGUUCAUAGAUACCAAUAGUUUUCAGAACUGUAUCCUGGAUACUACAGGGGAAGUUUUGGUCUCCCCUGGAGUUUCUUUUGUGUCCAAACAGUUCCCAGGAACCAAGUACCUAGUGGCGG
This 1081-nucleotide long non-coding RNA is filed under the name Cricetulus griseus (Chinese hamster). RNAcentral's name for it is "lncRNA (ENSCGRG00015033127.1)". The record is from RNAcentral. Lineage: Eukaryota; Metazoa; Chordata; Mammalia; Rodentia; Cricetidae.